UUUUUCUCUGGACUCUAAGCUGGUUGAUGCCACCAGGCCUUGGGAAAAAGCCUGCCUUCUGAUAGGAUUGCUAUUGAGUAGCAAAAAUUCUUGGAUUCUGAUAACAUCUUUCAUGCAGAAACUCAAAGCAUCUCCCAAAUUAUAAGCCCAUUCUUUUACACUGUUCUACACUCUCACACUCUAGGAACAACUCAUUUCAAUCUUGGGACAUUGACCAGAAUUCAGGGAAACUAGCAUGAUCCUUCCAGUCUGACGUUUCAUUCCAUCUACUGUCCAAAGCUGUGUCUACAAGGCAUCACCUAUGAGACAAUAAAACAAACCCUCUGAAAUCAGGAAAUUUGCCAGAAGAUGGCGAGCUGGGAAGAAAUAAAACCAGGAUUUGAGCCAGAGACUGGGUCACUCCGUGUUUCCUAGGAUGGAGUACAGUGGUUAUUUACAGGUGUGAUCAUUCAUAGCUCACUGUGGCCUUGAACUCCUCCUGGCCUCAAGCAAUCCUGCCUCAGCUUCCUGUGUAGCCAAUUUUCUAUAAAAAUAUUUAAUAGUUUGUGUUGUGUAUUUUCUUUCACGUUAUAUGAUGAGGCAUAGAGUGUAUGAUUGUUUCCCUACUUGUAAUGUUAAAUUUGAUCAGUGUGUUCUGGUAUUGUCAGCUUGAUUCAUUCUUUAUAUAAUUCCUCAGUAAGUUUUUUAUCUAAUGGUUUAGAAGCCAUUGAGGGUCAUUGCCCAAAUUCUUUAUUUCAUUAGGGAUUGCAAAAUGGUGACAUGUAAAUUCUAUUAUGCCUUCUG
RNAcentral lists this long non-coding RNA (783 nucleotides) under Homo sapiens (human). RNAcentral's name for it is "HSALNT0368913". The record is from RNAcentral. Lineage: Eukaryota; Metazoa; Chordata; Mammalia; Primates; Hominidae.